RNAcentral lists this ribosomal RNA (497 nucleotides) under uncultured bacterium. RNAcentral describes it as "partial 16S ribosomal RNA". It matches the Rfam family "Bacterial small subunit ribosomal RNA", at positions 28 to 507 of the family's 1533-position model. The record is from RNAcentral.
GAUGAACGCUGGCGGCGUGCCUAAUACAUGCAAGUCGAGCGAACAGAUGAGGAGCUUGCUCCUCUGACGUUAUCGGGGGACGGGUGCGUAACACGUGGAUAACCUAACUAUAAGACUGGGAUAACUUCGGGAAACCGGAGCUAAUACCGGAUAAUAUAUUGAACCGCGUGGUUCAAUAGUUAAAGACGGUUUUUCUUUCAGUUAUAGACUGCUCCGCCCCCCAUUAGCUAGUUGGUACGGUAACGGCUUACCAAGGCAACGAUGCGUAGACGACCUGAGGGGGUGAUCGGCCGCACGGGAGCUGGGACACGGUCCAGACUCCUACGGGAGGCAGCGGUCGGGCAUCUUCCGCAAGGAGCAGAGGCCUGACGGAGCAACGCGGCGUGAGUCAUGAAGGUCUUCGGAUCGUAAAACUCUGUUAUUAUGGAAGAACAAAUGUGUAAGUCACUAUGCACGUCUUGACGGUACCUAAGCAGAAAGCCACGCCUACCUCCGUG